AUUGAACGCUGGCGGCAGGCCUAACACAUGCAAGUCGAACGGUAACAGGAAGCAGCUUGCUGCUUCGCUGACGAGUGGCGGACGGGUGAGUAAUGUCUGGGAAACUGCCUGAUGGAGGGGGAUAACUACUGGAAACGGUAGCUAAUACCGCAUAACGUCGCAAGACCAAAGAGGGGGACCUUAGGGCCUCUUGCCAUCGGAUGUGCCCAGAUGGGAUUAGCUAGUAGGUGGGGUAACGGCUCACCUAGGCGACGAUCCCUAGCUGGUCUGAGAGGAUGACCAGCCACACUGGAACUGAGACACGGUCCAGACUCCUACGGGGGGCAGCAGUGGGGAAUAUUGCACAAUGGGCGCAAGCCUGAUGCAGCCAUGCCGCGUGUAUGAAGAAGGCCUUCGGGUUGUAAAGUACUUUCAGCGGGGAGGAAGGGAGUAAAGUUAAUACCUUUGCUCAUUGACGUUACCCGCAGAAGAAGCACCGGCUAACUCCGUG
RNAcentral lists this ribosomal RNA (490 nucleotides) under uncultured bacterium. RNAcentral describes it as "partial 16S ribosomal RNA". It matches the Rfam family "Bacterial small subunit ribosomal RNA", at positions 30 to 507 of the family's 1533-position model. The record is from RNAcentral.